AUGGGUGCUUGGGGAGGUGACCCCUCCCUGAAAGGGAGAUUUUACUCAAAGGAAACCCCCCAAAAAAUGUCAAUUGGAGCAAACACAAUUCCAGCUGAUGAAGUUCCAUCCCUGGCCAGCAGCUGGGAGCCUCAGAUGAAGGGCCGUGUCUGGGGGGAGCCAGAACCGAGCAGAUCCUUUUCCAUUUCCACUCCUUUCCAGGGAGAGUUUUGCAGCCAGCCUGGGACAGGAUGGGGAGAAAGAAGGAUGCUCUCUCCAGGGGCUGUGUCCAGAGCCCAGGACAAUCCCAUAAGAGCAAGGAAAGGGAAAAAAAAAAAAUCUUCAUUUUCAGCUGAUUCCAGCUGUUCUGGUUCCAGUUCAGUUCUGCUGCUCUCAGACAAUCAAGGUGGGCUCUCCCAAACCAAGACAAGCACUCAGGUGAGUCAAAUGUUGAUCUCUGCUCCCAGCUCAUGGAAUGCUUCUCCUGCCUGGGCUGGCCUGGACAGGGAACCUCUGGCUGAGCACGAGGAAUUCCCUCUCCUGUGCUUUUGUCCUGGGUAA
This 540-nucleotide long non-coding RNA is filed under the name Serinus canaria (Common canary). Its description in RNAcentral is "lncRNA (ENSSCAG00000008499.1)". Lineage: Eukaryota; Metazoa; Chordata; Aves; Passeriformes; Fringillidae. The record is from RNAcentral.